RNAcentral lists this transfer RNA (72 nucleotides) under Stegodyphus mimosarum. It matches the Rfam family "tRNA". From Rfam's summary of the family: Transfer RNA (tRNA) molecules are approximately 80 nucleotides in length. Their secondary structure includes four short double-helical elements and three loops (D, anti-codon, and T loops). The record is from Rfam by way of RNAcentral. Lineage: Eukaryota; Metazoa; Arthropoda; Arachnida; Araneae; Eresidae.
GCCUUUGUGGUGUAAUGGUCAGCACAUUCGGCGCGUAUCGACAGGUCCGAGGUUCGAGUCCCUGUGAAGGCA